RNAcentral lists this transfer RNA (73 nucleotides) under Planctomycetota bacterium. RNAcentral's name for it is "Planctomycetes bacterium (groundwater metagenome) tRNA-Phe". It matches the Rfam family "tRNA". From Rfam's summary of the family: Transfer RNA (tRNA) molecules are approximately 80 nucleotides in length. Their secondary structure includes four short double-helical elements and three loops (D, anti-codon, and T loops). RNAcentral also lists the same sequence under 1 other name. The record is from RNAcentral. Lineage: Bacteria; Pseudomonadati; Planctomycetota.
GGACGGGUAGCUCAGGUAGUAGAGCAGCGGACUGAAAAUCCGCGUGUCGAGGGUGCGACUCCCUCCCUGUCCA